RNAcentral lists this small RNA (591 nucleotides) under Mus musculus (house mouse). The record is from RNAcentral. Lineage: Eukaryota; Metazoa; Chordata; Mammalia; Rodentia; Muridae.
AAAGCCAAAAGAAGAAUGCCACAACUCCCUUGAAACAGUGGAAAGUUGGUGACAAGUGUUCUGCUGUUUGGUCAGAAGACGGCUGCAUUUACCCAGCUACUAUUACGUCCAUUGACUUUAAGAGAGAAACCUGUGUCGUGGUUUAUACUGGAUAUGGAAACAGAGAGGAGCAAAACUUAUCUGACCUACUUUCCCCGACCUGUGAAGUAGCUAAUAGUACAGAACAGAACACUCAGGAGAAUGAAAGUCAAGUUUCCACAGACGACAGUGAACACUCCUCCAGAUCGCUCAGAAGUAAAGCACACAGCAAGUCCAAAGCUGCUCCGUGGACCUCAUUUCUUCCUCCACCACCCCCAAUGCCAGGGUCAGGAUUAGGACCAGGAAAGCCAGGUCUAAAAUUCAACGGCCCGCCGCCGCCGCCUCCACUACCCCCUCCCCCCUUCCUGCCGUGCUGGAUGCCCCCGUUCCCUUCAGGACCACCAAGUGAUGAUUCUGACAUUUGGGAUGAUACAGCAUUGAUAAAAGCUUAUGAUAAAGCUGUGGCUUCCUUUAAGCAUGCUCUAAAGAACGGUGACAUUUGUGAAACUCCAG